CAGGCGAUACGGNCACGACUAGAGUGCUGUAGGGGUAACUGGAAUUCCUGGUGUAGCGGUGAAAUGCACAGAUAUCAGGAGGAACACCGAUGGCGAAGGCAGGUUACUGGGCAGUUACUGACGCUGAGGAGCGAAAGCAUGGGGAGCGAACAGGAUUAGAUACCCUGGUAGUCCAUGCUGUAAACGGUGGGCGCUAGGUGUGGGCUGUGUGUUUGCAGUCUGUGCCGUAGCUAACGCAUUAAGCGCCCCGCCUGGGGAGUACGGCCGCAAGGCUAAAACUCAAAGGAAUUGACGGGGGCCCGCACAAGCGGCGGAGCAUGUGGAUUAAUUCGAUGCAACGCGAAGAACCUUACCUGGGUUUGACAUGCACCAGAUCGGCGUAGAGAUACGUCUUCCCUUGUGGUUGGUGCACAGGUGGUGCAUGGUUGUCGUCAGCUCGUGUCGUGAGAUGUUGGGUUAAGUCCCGCAACGAGCGCAACCCUUGUCUUAUGUUGCCAGCACAUUUUUUGGUGGGGACUCAUGAGAAACUGCCGGGGUCAACUCGGAGGAAGGUGGGGAUGACGUCAAAUCAUCAUGCCCUUUAUACCCAGGGCUUCACACAUGCUACAAUGGUCGGUACAACGGGUUGCGACACUGUGAAGUGAAGCUAAUCUCUCAAAGCCGGCCUCAGUUCGGAUUGGGGUCUGCAACUCGACCCCAUGAAGUCGGAGUCGCUAGUAAUCGCAGAUCAGCAACGCUGCGGUGAAUACGUUCCCGGGCCUUGUACACACCGCCCGUCACGUCAUGAAAGUUGGUAACACCCGAAGCCCAUGGCCUAACCACCGUUUGUGGUGGGGG
RNAcentral lists this ribosomal RNA (837 nucleotides) under uncultured bacterium. RNAcentral's name for it is "bacterial SSU rRNA". It matches the Rfam family "Bacterial small subunit ribosomal RNA", at positions 624 to 1452 of the family's 1533-position model. The record is from RNAcentral.